GGAAGUAAAAUAACAAGGUCUCCGUUGGUGAACCAGCGGAGGGAUCAUUAUCGAGUUUAUAACUCCCAAACCCUAUGUGAACUUACCACUUGUUGCUUCGGCGCGCGCUUCGGCGCCGCCGAGGACACUUAAACUCUUUGUUUUUAUAAGCAUUUCUGAGUGGCCGAAAGGCAAAAUACAAAUGAAUCAAAACCUUCAACAACGGAUCUCUUGGUUCUG
Molecule: unclassified non-coding RNA, 219 nt
Filed under: plant metagenome
Description: partial contains small subunit ribosomal RNA, internal transcribed spacer 1, and 5.8S ribosomal RNA
Source: RNAcentral